AUUGAACGCUGGCGGCAGGCCUAACACAUGCAAGUCGAGCGGAUGAAGGGAGCUUGCUCCUGGAUUCAGCGGCGGACGGGUGAGUAAUGCCUAGGAAUCUGCCUGGUAGUGGGGGAUAACGUCCGGAGACGGGCGCUAAUACCGCAUACGUCCUGAGGGAGAAAGUGGGGGAUCUUCGGACCUCACGCUAUCAGAUGAGCCUAGGUCGGAUUAGCUAGUUGGUGGGGUAAAGGCCUACCAAGGCGACGAUCCGUAACUGGUCUGAGAGGAUGAUCAGUCACACUGGAACUGAGACACGGUCCAGACUCCUACGGGAGGCAGCAGUGGGGAAUAUUGGACAAUGGGCGAAAGCCUGAUCCAGCAAUGCCGCGUGUGUGAAGAAGGUCUUCGGAUUGUAAAGCACUUUAAGUUGGGAGGAAGGACAGUAAGUUAAUACCUUGCUGUUUUGACGUUACCAACAGAAAAAGCACCGGCUAACUUCGUG
This 484-nucleotide ribosomal RNA is filed under the name uncultured bacterium. Its description in RNAcentral is "partial 16S ribosomal RNA". It matches the Rfam family "Bacterial small subunit ribosomal RNA", at positions 30 to 507 of the family's 1533-position model. The record is from RNAcentral.